This is a long non-coding RNA of Gorilla gorilla gorilla (western lowland gorilla), 4031 nucleotides long. RefSeq lists it as uncharacterized. The record is from RefSeq and is a predicted model, not a curated record. Lineage: Eukaryota; Metazoa; Chordata; Mammalia; Primates; Hominidae. The transcript has 8 exons.
CAGGUAAUAGUGUCAUAGACCUAAAGCUGUUAUGUGAUGUGAUUCAAAUGUGAUUCAAGCUAGUAUCUGUCUGACUCCAAAUGGCUGUAUUCUUCACUAUGACACAUAGUGGGAAGAAUGUACCCAGUGAAUAGCAAAGAUCCAGAGAGGAGGAGGAAUACAUAGUUCCAGCUGGUAGCAGGCUGUCAUGGAGUUGUGGAAUCAAAAAGACAAUAGGCACAAUCCUGAGAAUGUUUGGAUCCAAAGAUACAUUUUUCUGACCUUGGCCUUCAAAGCUACUCCCAGCCUCCAGGGGACUUACUCAGCCAGCAGUUCUAUUUUCAGAAGCAGAGGAUAAACACAUGCUUUAAUUCCGUCGUUUAAAAUCUAGCCGGUCACAACCUAGUUCCAGCCCCUCAAAUCCCAGCUCCUGGUGCCACUGGUUUACCGUCGCCUCAGUAAAGAGGAGAAAAGGACAUGUGAAUAUGUGACUGCUUUCUCCUGCGCUGGGCCAUCACUUCUCUUUCACUGGCUCCUUGACGUGUCCUCUGAUGGCGUGCUUCCGGGCAGAAUCACUCAGUCCAAAACUUCAUGUCGAAAGACAGAUCUCCCUCUGUUGCCCAGACUGGAGUACAGUGGAAUGAUCACAGCUUACUGCAGCCUCAACUUCCUGGGCUCAAGCGAUCCUCCCACCUUGGGCUCUGGAGUAGCUGAGACGACAGGCAUUACCAGAAACGCACUAAUACAAUGAACUCAGGAGAUUCUCACUUGAGAAAAUCUCCAGCAAACGAUCACAGAAGUCAGAGACUGAGAGAGAACUGUUGUGAAGAUUAAAGCAGAUCACAGAGAUUUAAAGCUCUUGAUGGCCUUGAGAAGUAUCUAGGAAACAGCGGCCCAGAAGAAACGGAUUAUGUGAAAUAGAGAAAGUAGAUCAGAGAGAUCACUAAAGCUGUUAGUCAUGGCUACCCACAGACUGUCUUUCAUCUGAAGAGUUCAAAAAGGCUUUUCUAACCCGGGACUGACUUCUAGGUGGAAAAAAUACAUCGCUGUAAGAAAACCGAAAAAUAAUACCUGGAUUUCAUAUUAUGAACAUGAAAUGAGUCUACCUCACACCAGUCUGCAGAUGCAUCCGUGUUGUUGCACAGUUUCCUGUAAAAGCGUUUCACAUCUUGAUUCUUCACAUCUGGACCAAAGAGCUUCUGUACCGAUGCAUAAAACUUGUCAUAACCAAUUGCAUCUGCAUUGAAAAAAGUACAGUCCAUUUUCAUCAAAUUCCAAGGACUACCUUUUGUAUUUCAGCUAGAUUUUUUAUUUCCUAACCUUCUAUUUUCUUAUCUCAAUCUGUAAAAACCAGAUAUAUUUGCAUUUUAAAGACCUUGUCUUUGCACAAUCCUAAGCAAAAAGAACAAAGCUGGAGGCAUCACACUACCUGACUUCAAACUAUACUAUAAGGCUGGAGUAACCCAAAGCAUGGUACUGGUAGAAGAACACACACUCAGACCAAUGGAACAGAAUAGAGAACCCAAAAAUAAGAGUGCACACCUACAACGAUCUGAUUUUCUACAAACCUGACAAAAACAAGCAAUGGGGAAAGGAUUCCCUAUUUAACAAAUGGUGCUGGGAGGAGAGGACUGGAUAGCCACAUGUAGAAAAUUGAAACUGGACCCCUUCCUUAUACCAUUUACAAAAAUCAACUCAUGCUGGAUUAAAGACUUAAAUGUAAAACCCAAAACUACAAAAACUCUAGAAGAACAUCUAGGCAAUUCCAUUCAAGACAGAGUCACAGACAAAGAUUUCAUGAUGAAGAUACCAAAAGCAAUUGCAACAAAAGCAAAAAUUGACAAAUGGGAUCUAAUUAAACUUAAGAGCUUCUGCACAGCAAAAGAAACUAUCAUCGGAGUGGACAGACAACCUACAGAAGGGAGAAAAUUUUUGCAAUCUAUCCAUCUGACAAAGGUCUAAUAUCCAGCAUCUACAAGGAACUUAAGCAAAUUUACAAGAAAAAAAUGAACAACCUCAUUAAAAGUGGGCAAAGGACAUGAACGAACACUUCUCAGAGAAGACAUUCAUGUGGCCAACAAAUAUAUGAAAAAAAGCUCAUCAUCACUGGUCAUUACACAAAUGCAAAUCAAAAUCACAAUGAGAUAAUAUCUUAUACCAGUCAGAAUGGCUACUAUUGAAAAGUCAAAAUACAACAGAUGCUGGCAAGGUUGGGGAGAAAAAGGAAGGCUUUUACACUGUUGAUGGAAGUGUAAAUUAGUUCAACAAUUGUGGAAGACAGUGUGGUGAUUCCUCAAAGACCUAGAGGCAGAAAUACCAUUUGACCCAGCAAUCCCAUUACUGAGUAUAUACCCAAAGGAAUAAAAAUCAUUCUAUUAUAAAGAUACAUGCAUGCAUAUGCUCAUUGCAGCACUGUUCCCAAUAGCAAAGAUAUGGAAUCAAUACAAAUGCCCAUCAAUGAUAGACUGGAUAAAGAAAAUGUGGUAUAUAUACACCAUGGAAUACUAUGCAGCCAUAAAAAGGAAUGAGAUCAUGUCCUUUGCAGGGACAUGGAUGGACCUGGAGGCCAUUAUCUUUAGCAGGCUAACGCAGGAACAGAAAACCAAAUACCACAUGUUCUCACUUAUAUGUAGGAGCUGAAUGAUGAGAACACAAGGACACAUGGUGGCUAAAAACACCCAGUGGGGCCUGUUAUAGGGUUGUGGGGGUGUGGAGGGAGAGCAUGAGGAAGAAUAGCUAAUGGAUAUUGGGCUUGAUACCUGGUGAUGGGAUGAUCUGUGCAGCAAACCACCAUGGCACAUGUUUACCUAUGUAACAAACCUGCACAUCCUGCACACGUACCCCUGAACUCAAAAAAAAAAAGAUCUUGUGUUUACAAACAUAAUCAGGCCUUUGGCUAAAAUAUUACUAAAUAAGAAGAAAAUAUUUUACUGUGGUGUUUGAUACAUUCUCCGUGGUUUCUGUUUAAGAUAUUUUAGGAGUUUUGUUCAGGAAUGCAAAAAUUCAAGAAUGAAUUGACUUUUUCCUGUUGUAAAAAGUUUCACCAUUGGAGUCUUUGGUAGAAUUCAUCUUGAGCGGAAGGUGGAAGUGAGCAAACAGCAAUUCUUUUUUUUUUUUUUUUUUUUGAGACAGGAUCUUGCUCUGUCACUCAGGCUGGAGUGCAGUGGCACAAUCAUGACUCACUGCAGCUUUUACCUCCCAGGAUCAAGUGAUCCUCCCAGCUCAACCCCCCAAGUAGCUGGGACUACAGGCACCCACCACCACACCCAGCUAAUAUUUUAUUUUUUGCAGAGACAGGGUCUCACUAUGUUACAGCCCAGGCUGGUCUCAGACUCCUAGCUUCAAGCGAUCCUCCCACUUCAGCCUCCCAAAGUGCUGGGAUUACAGAUGUGAGCCACUGUGCCUGGUGAGCAAUUCUUAACUGGUUCUUAAACUCUAUGUAAAUACACACAUACACACACACACACACACACACACACACACACACACACACACACCAUUGCUUGAAUCUUGAUUUUGUCAAAUUUCGUAAUUCCCUGGGGUAAGACUAUUGAAUCUAAGGACAAGAAGGAAUUAGAUGUGAGGCUUUCUCAAACUGUAUAGACAAGAUCAGAUGGUUUUAUUUAGUUAAAAAUAUGAGUAUCUCUUAUGUGUAAGAACUGAGCCAGACAUUGGGCUUAGAAUAGAAAAUUAGAUAAGCAAGAUCCCUGCCCUCAGGGAGCUUAUAUUAUAGCGGGAAAUCAGAAAAGUAACAAGUGAACACACUAUUUACAGAUUGUGACAGGCAAGGCUAAUUAAUAAAGAUAGACGUUACAUCAGUGGUUACCUGUGUAUAAGGUGAAAAGCAGUAUUGCUGCAAAAGGCAUGAGGGAACUUUCUGGGACGCUAGAAAUGUUCCCUGUCUUGAUCUGGAUGGUGGCUAAAGGUGUGUUUACCAAGGUUCAAAUUUACAGAGCUACCUCCUUAAGAAGAGUACAUUUUAUGGGCUUUAUUAUAUGUAUGUCAAGCUCAGUAACGAAGUUAAAAUAAACAAGUUGUUGUAGAAUAAGCAC